GAUCUGGCUCAGGAUGAACGCUAGCUACAGGCUUAACACAUGCAAGUCGAGGGACAGCAUGGUCUUAGCUUGCUAAGGCCGAUGGCGACCGGCGCACGGGUGAGUAACACGUAUCCAACCUGCCGUCUACUCUUGGACAGCCUUCUGAAAGGAAGAUUAAUACAAGAUGGCAUCAUGAGUCCGCAUGUUCACAUGAUUAAAGGUAUUCCGGUAGACGAUGGGGA
Molecule: ribosomal RNA, 224 nt
Filed under: uncultured bacterium
Lineage: Bacteria
Description: partial 16S ribosomal RNA
Rfam family: Bacterial small subunit ribosomal RNA
Source: RNAcentral